Molecule: ribosomal RNA, 334 nt
Filed under: uncultured bacterium
Lineage: Bacteria
Description: bacterial SSU rRNA
Rfam family: Bacterial small subunit ribosomal RNA
Source: RNAcentral
CGCGUAGGCGGUCGUUUAAGUCAGGCGUGAAAGCCCCCGGCUCAACUGGGGAGGUUGCAUCUGAUACUGGGCGGACUAGAGUGCAGGAGAGGAAAGUGGAAUUCCGAGUGUAGCGGUGAAAUGCGUAGAUAUUCGGAGGAACACCAGUGGCGAAGGCGGCUUUCUGGACUGCAACUGACGCUGAGGCGCGAAAGCUGGGGGAGCGAACGGGAUUAGAUACCCCGGUAGUCCCAGCCGUAAACGAUGGAUGCUAGGUGUGGGGGGUAUCGACCCCUUCCGUGCCGCAGUCAACACAAUAAGCAUCCCGCCUGGGGAGUACGGCCGCAAGGUUGAA